AUAUGUUUAUGCAUCUAUUAGUGUAUUUAUGGUCAUUUUUUUAACCCUUAUCUCCUCCCAUAUUAUCAUAUUCUUAAUAUCUUAGUCGAUUACCGAACCGGUAAAAUAGAGACGACACCGGUCUGUUCCUCCUAUUCAAAUCCUCCCAACCAUUCCUCAUCGGCACCACAUCGCUGCAUCUCUAUUCCUCUCCAGAUUGUUUCGACUGUUGGGGAUCCAAACCUUUCUUGUUAACAGAACCGCUCUAAAUUCUCUUAAACCCUGACAAGUGACAACCACUAACACUUCGACCACUUCUUAUCCUCAUAUACAGAAUUGGGACAUUAUAUGCAUUCAUAGUAUUCGAUGAAAGUCCUCGAUGAAGUCUGGUAAAAAAAUUUCAUCAAACUUCUUAUUAACUGCCACUAAUUCAUUCCCUCAUUCACUAGAAUUAUGCACUGACAAGCCCAAGUUCAUCCAUUGCAAAGAAGAUCCUGCAUUUGGAUAUACCCGUUAACAGCUUCCCAAAUUUUAACUUCGUUGGGAGGCUUCUGGUUCCUAGAGGCAAUUCAUUGAAGCGGGUUGAAACCUCAAUUGUAUUUCUUCUCUUCAUCAGAGGCCAGGGCUCCAUUAAAGAUCCUAAAAAGGGUUUUGGAUGUAUUGUGAAAAGAUGAAGUCAUGCUUUACCAAUGACAUAUGAGGAAUAGUUCUAAAAUGAUAAUGGUAAUAGAUAAUUUUUUGAUGGAACUGUUAGCAAGGGAAAUGCCUUCAACUCUGAUAAUAUAGUUUCACGUGGACCAGAAUUUAUUAUUUAUUUUGGAAAGUAGUUUAAAAAGAAGCAAGGUUCAUUACCCUUUCGAUUGAUCUUGAACUUUUUUGAACGACAAUAUUAAUAUAACUUCUAAUUUUUUUCAACAUAAUUUUUAAUUAAGGAUAUGAUAAAAUAGAUUAUGUUGCAGGCUAAGUAACUGGCCCUUUUAAGGCAAUUUAUGAGUUGUUGCCCAUUCAAAUUAUUGUUUGAUUACUCUUAGAAACCGAUAGUAUUUCUGCACUCUAACUAUGCAAAUCUUAUAUUAGCAACAUAUACAUGUUUUACCUUUGAAACUUUUGAUUUUGAUUUUGAUUUCCAAGCAUUGAGUGCGGGAAUUUGUUGCACCAUUAAAAGGUUAAUAUCAUGAUUCUUUGCUUCCAUCUCUCUCUCUCUCUCUCUCUCUCCAAAUAAUGCAUGUAAGGUGAUUGAUGUUGGUAUGCAUAUAAUUUGUACAGGUCUUGGUAGGAUCGUUCUAAAUCUGGUAUCAAGGAGACUCGCAAACAAUACUGGUAGAGGCGUUUAUUGAGUAUUGACAUUUUUUGCUUAAAUUUUUCAUCAUGUGAGGGACAUUCAAAAUAGAACCAAACUAAAAUCAUAAAAAAAAAAGCAGUUCUUUAACAUAAUUUUUUCAACUACAAUUCCAUUUUUAUUUAUUUCUUAAGUACUUAAAACUUUAAAAAUAGCAUCAUACUUUCAAAAUUCUACCAAAAUACCGUGUUGUGAGAAAGCAGGAUGCUAUUUCGACAUACUUUUUCUACUUGUCAAAAGAUACCUCCAACUUAGUCUUUAAAAUCUGUCAUUUUACUCAAAUUUUCUAAUUAUAAUAUUAAAAUUCACAAAAUUUAUCAAUGGUUCAGUUGUAUCAUUAUUUACAUUUGUCACCGUAUCGUUGCCCACUAUGACUUUCCGAGGUAUACAAGCGUUUAUGUUUGACAUUAAACUUUUGCUCUUAAUGAUCCUUAAUUUUUACACCAUUGACAUAGGGAUAAAUUAGUCAAGUCCUAGAAAACAAGACAUAGGUAUGUAAGCAAAAACUUUAUUUUAUACGAAUUUUGUUUUGUGUUUUACAAGAGAUAUUGCUUAUUUUUGGAAAACGGACAAACUGAGAUAUGAAUUGAUGAAAACACAUACAAUUAGGAUAAAAUGGUGGAACUUGAAAAGACGAUUAGCGAGUAGCCUUUGGAGGUCAUAAAGAGUCGGAAAGAUGAGGAGAAAAUGAUCUAUACGAAGUGAAAGCAUGAGAAUAUUAUUCAGAUGUUCGAUUCGUUUGAAACCACACAAGAGUUAUAUGUUGUCACAUGAGGGGAUUUUCUCGACUAAUUUGGAACUGCAUCGUUAGUUUUUAUUUGGAUUACCAACCCUUGCAACGUGGGGAAUUUCACUAGUUUAUGUUAAAUAAAUGGAUUUAUUUUAAUUAUUAUUAAUAUUAUUAUUAUCUUUUAUAUUAUAAAACCUACAAAACUUGAUCUUUGA
Long non-coding RNA from Lactuca sativa (garden lettuce), 2263 nucleotides. RefSeq lists it as uncharacterized. NCBI's taxonomy places the organism in Eukaryota, Viridiplantae, Streptophyta, Magnoliopsida, Asterales, Asteraceae. The record is from RefSeq and is a predicted model, not a curated record.